Molecule: ribosomal RNA, 103 nt
Filed under: Bacillus subtilis
Lineage: Bacteria; Bacillati; Bacillota; Bacilli; Caryophanales; Bacillaceae
Also listed under: 1 other name
Source: RNAcentral
GCGAAGAGGUCACACCCGUUCCCAUACCGAACACGGAAGUUAAGCUCUUCAGCGCCGAUGGUAGUCGGGGGUUUCCCCCUGUGAGAGUAGGACGCCGCCAAGC